This 252-nucleotide ribosomal RNA is filed under the name uncultured bacterium. Its description in RNAcentral is "partial 16S ribosomal RNA". It matches the Rfam family "Bacterial small subunit ribosomal RNA", at positions 524 to 776 of the family's 1533-position model. The record is from RNAcentral.
UACAUAGGGGGCAAGCGUUAUCCGGAAUUAUUGGGCGUAAAGGGUGCGUAGACGGUUAUGUAAGUCUUUGGUGAAAGUGCUAGGCUUAACCUAGUGAUGCCAAGGAAACUGUGUAACUUGAGUGUGGUAGAGGCAAGUGGAAUUCCAUGUGUAGAGGUAAAAUUCGUAAAUAUAUGGAGGAACACCAGUGGCGAAGGCGGCUUGCUGGGCCAUUACUGACGUUGAGGCACGAAAGCGUGGGGAGCAAACAGG